RNAcentral lists this ribosomal RNA (462 nucleotides) under uncultured bacterium. RNAcentral's name for it is "partial 16S ribosomal RNA". It matches the Rfam family "Bacterial small subunit ribosomal RNA", at positions 28 to 507 of the family's 1533-position model. The record is from RNAcentral.
GACGAACGCUGGCGGCGUGCUUAACACAUGCAAGUCGAGCGACGCUCUUCCUUCGGGGCGCUGACGGAGCGGCGAACGGGUGAGUAACACGUGGGCAACCUGCCCCUAGCUCUGGGACAACACCGGGAAACCGGUGCUAAUACCGGAUACGACAUCGAGCGGCAUCUCUCGAUGUGGAAAGUUUUUUCGGCUAGGGAUGGGCCCGCGGCCUAUCAGCUUGUUGGUGGGGUAAUGGCCCACCAAGGCGACGACGGGUAGCCGGCCUGAGAGGGCGACCGGCCACACUGGGACUGAGACACGGCCCAGACUCCUACGGGAGACAGCAGUGGGGAAUAUUGCGCAAUGGGCGAAAGCCUGACGCAGCGACGCCGCGUGAGGGAUGACGGCCUUCGGGUUGUAAACCUCUUUCAGCAGGGACGAAUUCAGACGGUACCUGCAGAAGAAGCACCGGCCAACUACGUG